GAUGAACGCUGGCGGCGUGCCUAAUACAUGCAAGUCGAGCGAACAGACGAGGAGCUUGCUCCUCUGACGUUAGCGGCGGACGGGUGAGUAACACGUGGAUAACCUACCUAUAAGACUGGGAUAACUUCGGGAAACCGGAGCUAAUACCGGAUAACAUGUUGAACCGCAUGGUUUAACAGUGAAAGACGGUCUUGCUGUCACUUAUAGAUGGAUCCGCGCCGCAUUAGCUAGUUGGUAAGGUAACGGCUUACCAAGGCAACGAUGCGUAGCCGACCGGAGAGGGUGAUCGGCCACCUUGGAACUGAGCCACGGUCCAGACUCCUGCGGGAGGGAGCAGUAGGGAAUCUGCCGCAAUGGGCGAAAGCCUGACGGAGCAACGCCGCGUGAGUGAAGAAGGUGUUCGGAUCGGAAAACUCUGUUAUUAGGGAAGAACAAAUGUGUAAGUAACUAUGCACGUCUUGACGGUACCUAAUCAGAAAGCCACGGCUAACUACGUG
RNAcentral lists this ribosomal RNA (497 nucleotides) under uncultured bacterium. RNAcentral's name for it is "partial 16S ribosomal RNA". It matches the Rfam family "Bacterial small subunit ribosomal RNA", at positions 28 to 507 of the family's 1533-position model. The record is from RNAcentral.